Peromyscus eremicus (cactus mouse) is the source of this 1621-nucleotide long non-coding RNA. RefSeq lists it as uncharacterized. The transcript is spliced from 3 exons. The record is from RefSeq and is a predicted model, not a curated record. NCBI's taxonomy places the organism in Eukaryota, Metazoa, Chordata, Mammalia, Rodentia, Cricetidae.
GGCAAUUAUUGGUUAAUUGGGGAAGAGCUCAGUGGCACGCAGGUGAAGGCUGUUGGCAGUGACCCUAACAGUACCUUCCCUGAACAUUCUAUUCUACCCUGGAGAGCCCUGAGCAUCCUCUUGAUGUCACCACUGUUGAAGCAACACCAACUGCCAUUUGGGGCAUUUGUACAGUGCCUCUGGGAGUCACAAAGACAUAUUGGUGAGACUGAGAAAGCUACUUGGGAAAGAGAAUGGACCGCCUAGAGAAGAGAGAGAGGCAGAAGGAAUCUGGUCAUCUGUCUCAGCAUAAAACAUCAAGAAAUAAAUGUUCCAGGGGAAGGAAUGACUGGAAAGGCAUCUUUUCAACUCUCCCCUCACUGAGCAGGAUCUGGAGAUGAACAAGGUGGAGAAAAUGACCAUUCAGCUACAGAUGAUGACCUGUUAGAGGAAUGAACUGCAUUGAAUCUUGGACCAUUAUACUAAUACUGAUUUGAACAGCAGAACAUAUCUAAAGACCCAGAAAUGAAGAUAAAUGACAGAGAAUAUAUUUCUGUGGACAAGAAACUGUGUCUGUUUCUUGAUCAAACUACAUCACAGUAUUUAUAUCGAUCGGAGCCAGCUCGCCAGAAGAGGUUAAAGAGGAGGGUUCGAAAACUUUUUGGAAGUCCGGAAGUUAAUGUUUGUCCUCAGGGAGAGCCUCUACCUAAUACCUCUGAAGAGCAAACACCCCGAAAGGUAAUCCCCACUGACUUGAAAAGUAACGUAUUUGUUUGGGAGGGGAAAGCUGCAUCUGUGUGCCCAUGUCUGCAGUAUUGCAGAUGGUGUCAGAAAAGAGGAGUCCAGCCUCAAACGUAUCCUGUCCCUCCUUCACACCCUCACUUCCAGGGACACUCUUGCCAGUCACCAUCUAUGGUAUAAGUGAAAAUAAGUUAGACCAUAGAAAUAAAAACUCAGAAAGUAAACAUGCUUUUAACACAAGUCAGGAGAACUCAUCAAAACAGAGAGAAUAAACAAUUAGACUCCUGGAGUAAUUACAGUCAACAUGAAAGUGAGUAACAUGCUUGUGUUUUUGGAGACUUGUUCAUUUUAUGUGGAUGAAUGUUUUAUCUGCAUUCUGUCUGUGCACCAUGUGUGUGCCCACUGCCCACAGAGGUCAGAAGAGGACAUCAGAUCUCCUGGAACUGGACUUACAGAUGGUUGUCAGCUCCCAUGUGGGUGCUGUGAAUCGAUCCCGGGUCUUCUGCAAGAACAACAAGUGUUCUCAAGGCUGAGCCACCCAUCCAGCUCCCAGAAUGAAUGCUGGAGAUGCAAAUGAUUAGGGUGCAAGCCAAGAUAUUACAAGUGGAAAUAAGUAGCCAGUCUCAGGAUGCUUGCUAAGUUCCUGGGCCCAGGCAUCAUCAGCUUGCUAGUUUUACAACUGAAAUCCAGAGAUUAUGUAGGUGGUAAGAACAGCAAUAAGGAGGCUGGACAUGCUAAUCCCAGCACUCAGGAGACAUGGUGGGUCUUUGGGAGUUCAAGUAAACCCUGGUCUCAAUUUAUUUGGGAGAUGGGGGAAGACAACGUACAUGUAUGUCAUUGCAGAAGUGUGGGGGUCAAAGGAUAAUUUUUGAGAGUCAAUUCUCUCCUCCCAUCUUGUCAG